Molecule: RNase P RNA, 365 nt
Filed under: Candidatus Zixiibacteriota bacterium
Lineage: Bacteria; Pseudomonadati; Candidatus Zixiibacteriota
Description: candidate division Zixibacteria bacterium RNase P RNA component class A
Rfam family: Bacterial RNase P class A
About the family: Ribonuclease P (RNase P) is a ubiquitous endoribonuclease, found in archaea, bacteria and eukarya as well as chloroplasts and mitochondria. Its best characterised activity is the generation of mature 5'-ends of tRNAs by cleaving the 5'-leader elements of precursor-tRNAs.
Source: RNAcentral
AAAGUAGGAGGAACAGUCGCGCCCGCCGAAGGCGGGUGAGGAAAGUCCGAGCUCCACAGAAUCAAGGCGCCCGGUAACACCGGGGCGGAGCGAUCCGACGGAAAGUGCCGCAGAAACAAUACCGCCCGGCAACUGCCGGGUAAGGGUGAAAUCGUGGUGUAAGAGACCACGGCCGGUGGCAGUAAUGCCAUCAGUGGGCAAACCCCGCCUGGAGCAAGGCCAAAUAGAGGAAGAGGAGUUGAUUCGCUCCGCUAUCAUUCCUGGGUGGGCCGCGCAGAACAGUCGGGCAACCGGCUGUCAAGAUAAAUGACUGUCAACUCGCCUUAGGCGAGCACACAGAACUCGGCUUAUCUCCUGCUUUCCAA